This 679-nucleotide ribosomal RNA is filed under the name Bacillus licheniformis. RNAcentral's name for it is "bacterial SSU rRNA". It matches the Rfam family "Bacterial small subunit ribosomal RNA", at positions 556 to 1236 of the family's 1533-position model. The record is from RNAcentral. Lineage: Bacteria; Bacillati; Bacillota; Bacilli; Caryophanales; Bacillaceae.
GGGCGUAAGCGCGCGCAGGCGGUUUCUUAAGUCUGAUGUGAAAGCCCCCGGCUCAACCGGGGAGGGUCAUUGGAAACUGGGGAACUUGAGUGCAGAAGAGGAGAGUGGAAUUCCACGUGUAGCGGUGAAAUGCGUAGAGAUGUGGAGGAACACCAGUGGCGAAGGCGACUCUCUGGUCUGUAACUGACGCUGAGGCGCGAAAGCGUGGGGAGCGAACAGGAUUAGAUACCCUGGUAGUCCACGCCGUAAACGAUGAGUGCUAAGUGUUAGAGGGUUUCCGCCCUUUAGUGCUGCAGCAAACGCAUUAAGCACUCCGCCUGGGGAGUACGGUCGCAAGACUGAAACUCAAAGGAAUUGACGGGGGCCCGCACAAGCGGUGGAGCAUGUGGUUUAAUUCGAAGCAACGCGAAGAACCUUACCAGGUCUUGACAUCCUCUGACAACCCUAGAGAUAGGGCUUCCCCUUCGGGGGCAGAGUGACAGGUGGUGCAUGGUUGUCGUCAGCUCGUGUCGUGAGAUGUUGGGUUAAGUCCCGCAACGAGCGCAACCCUUGAUCUUAGUUGCCAGCAUUCAGUUGGGCACUCUAAGGUGACUGCCGGUGACAAACCGGAGGAAGGUGGGGAUGACGUCAAAUCAUCAUGCGCCUUAUGACCUGGGCUACACACGUGCUACAAUGGGCA